Molecule: ribosomal RNA, 253 nt
Filed under: uncultured bacterium
Lineage: Bacteria
Description: partial 16S ribosomal RNA
Rfam family: Bacterial small subunit ribosomal RNA
Source: RNAcentral
UACGAAGGGGCUAGCGUUGUUCGGAAUUACUGGGCGUAAAGGGCGCGCAGGCGGUCUUCCAAGUCGGAUGUGAAAGCCCCGGGCUCAACCUGGGAACUGCAUUCGAGACUGGGGGACUUGAGUUCGGGAGAGGAGAGCGGAAUUCCCAGUGUAGAGGUGAAAUUCGUAGAUAUUGGGAAGAACACCAGUGGCGAAGGCGGCUCACUGGCCCGAUACUGACGCUGAGGCACGAAAGCGUGGGGAGCAAACAGGG